GGAUGCGAGCGUGGUCUGGCUGCAACAUCUGUCUCCCCAGUGAUUGCUGGGGUUGAUUUGGCUGGUCUGGCUGGCUAGGUGGGUGUUCCCUUCCUUUAUCUCCAUGUGUGUCCGUCCUGAAGCUCCAUGCUUGGCAGAAAGGAGACCUUCUUUCUUGAAGGACUGUUCUUCAGGCAAGGAUAAAUGAGUGGCUGUGCUCCCCUGCUGGAACCCCCAAACAAGCUCUCAAGGUCUGUUUGUAGGAGAACAUCGGGUAGUCAAACUUCCAGGACUCCAGACAAAUCCAAAUGACGUGCUGCCUGUGGCAGUCUGCCUUUCUUC
This 321-nucleotide small nuclear RNA is filed under the name Propithecus coquereli (Coquerel's sifaka). Its description in RNAcentral is "7SK RNA (ENSPCOG00000006493.1)". It matches the Rfam family "7SK RNA". Rfam says of the family: 7SK was discovered as an abundant small nuclear RNA in the mid-70s but a possible function has only recently been suggested. Two independent studies have found that 7SK RNA binds the CDK9/cyclin T complex (known as elongation factor P-TEFb). P-TEFb activates transcription by phosphorylating the C-terminal domain of RNA polymerase II. The record is from Rfam by way of RNAcentral. Lineage: Eukaryota; Metazoa; Chordata; Mammalia; Primates; Indriidae.